Molecule: RNase P RNA, 339 nt
Filed under: human gut metagenome
Description: Bacterial RNase P class A
Rfam family: Bacterial RNase P class A
About the family: Ribonuclease P (RNase P) is a ubiquitous endoribonuclease, found in archaea, bacteria and eukarya as well as chloroplasts and mitochondria. Its best characterised activity is the generation of mature 5'-ends of tRNAs by cleaving the 5'-leader elements of precursor-tRNAs. Cellular RNase Ps are ribonucleoproteins.
Source: RNAcentral
CCUGGUCGAGCGGUCGCCGGUGCCUUUUGGCACGGGAGGAAAGUCCGAGCCCCACAGAGCAGGAUAACGGCUAACGGCCGCCAGGGGUGACCCUCGGGAAAGUGCAACAGAGAUAUACCGCCUAAGCAGGCUUUGCCUGCCGGCAAGGGUGGAAAGGCGGGGUAAGAGCCCACCAGCGUAAUGGUAACAUUACGGCUAUGUAAACCCUAUCCGGAGCAACACCGACUUGAAGUGGCUUGCUCGGCCCAUACUUCAGAAGGGUGGCUUGAACGGAGCAGCAAUGUUUCGUCUAGAAAGAUGAUCGCUUUAGAUGACAGAACUCGGCUUAUACGCCAGGUC